GUAGGUGGCAAGCGUUGUCCGGAAUUAUUGGGCGUAAAGCGCGCGCAGGCGGUCCUUUAAGUCUGAUGUGAAAGCCCCACGGCUCAACCGUGGAGGGUCAUUGGAAACUGGGGGACUUGAGUACAGAAGAGGAAAGCGGAAUUCCCAAGUGUAGCGGUGAAAUGCGUAGAGAUUUGGAGGAACACCAGUGGCGAAGGCGGCUUUCUGGUCUGUAACUGACGCUGAGGCGCGAAAGCGUGGGGAGCAAACAGGAUUAGAUACCCUGGUAGUCCAACGCCGUAAACGAUGAGUGCCUAAGUGUUAGGGGGUUUCCCGCCCCCUUAGUGCUGCAGCUAACGCAUUAAGCACUCCGCCUGGGGAGUACGGCCGCAAGGCUG
This 377-nucleotide ribosomal RNA is filed under the name uncultured organism. RNAcentral describes it as "partial 16S ribosomal RNA". It matches the Rfam family "Bacterial small subunit ribosomal RNA", at positions 527 to 896 of the family's 1533-position model. The record is from RNAcentral.